GACGAACGCUGGCGGCGUGCUUAACACAUGCAAGUCGAACGGAAAGGCCCUGCUUUUGUGGGGUGCUCGAGUGGCGAACGGGUGAGUAACACGUGAGUAACCUGCCCUUGACUUUGGGAUAACUUCAGGAAACUGGGGCUAAUACCGGAUAGGAGCUCCUGCUGCAUGGUGGGGGUUGGAAAGUUUCGGCGGUUGGGGAUGGACUCGCGGCUUAUCAGCUUGUUGGUGGGGUAGUGGCUUACCAAGGCUUUGACGGGUAGCCGGCCUGAGAGGGUGACCGGCCACAGUGGGACUGAGAUACGGCCCAGACUCCUACGGGAGGCAGCAGUGGGGAAUAUUGAACAAUGGGCGGAAGCCUGAUGCAGCAACGCCGCGUGCGGGAUGACGGCCUUCGGGUUGUAAACCGCUUUCGCCUGUGACGAAGCGUGAGUGACGGUAAUGGGUAAAGAAGCACCGGCUAACUACGUG
This 468-nucleotide ribosomal RNA is filed under the name uncultured bacterium. RNAcentral's name for it is "partial 16S ribosomal RNA". It matches the Rfam family "Bacterial small subunit ribosomal RNA", at positions 28 to 507 of the family's 1533-position model. The record is from RNAcentral.